GACAGAGGGUGCAAACGUUGUUCGGAAUUACUGGGCGUAAAGAGUGUGUAGGCGGUGCUCUAAGUCUGGUGUGAAAUCUCCCGGCUUAACCGGGAGGGUGCGGCGGAAACUGGAGUGCUUGAGGGUGGGAGAGGUAAGCGGAAUUCCUGGUGUAGCGGUGAAAUGCGUAGAUAUCAGGAGGAACACCUAUGGUGUAGACAGCUUACUGGACCAUUUCUGACGCUGAGACACGAAAGCGUGGGUAGCAAACAGG
RNAcentral lists this ribosomal RNA (253 nucleotides) under uncultured bacterium. Its description in RNAcentral is "partial 16S ribosomal RNA". It matches the Rfam family "Bacterial small subunit ribosomal RNA", at positions 524 to 776 of the family's 1533-position model. The record is from RNAcentral.